This 230-nucleotide ribosomal RNA is filed under the name uncultured bacterium. RNAcentral's name for it is "partial 16S ribosomal RNA". It matches the Rfam family "Bacterial small subunit ribosomal RNA", at positions 563 to 791 of the family's 1533-position model. The record is from RNAcentral.
AAGGGAGCGUAGGCGGACAUUUAAGUCAGGGGUGAAAUCCCGGGGGCUCAACCUCGGAAUUGCCUUUGAUACUGGGUGUCUUGAGUAUGAGAGAGGUGUGUGGAACUCCGAGUGUAGAGGUGAAAUUCGUAGAUAUUCGGAAGAACACCAGUGGCGAAGGCGACACACUGGCUCAUUACUGACGCUGAGGCUCGAAAGCGUGGGGAGCAAACAGGAUUAGAUACCCGGGU